UUGUAAUUUUUUUUGCAAAUGUUCAUCGCAUUUCUUACAGUCUAUUGGGCUAGCAAAUACAAGAAAGAACACAGAAAGCUCAACCCAAAUACAACAAACCCUAGCUCAACUCAAAAUCAUAUGCAAAGCCCAGAGCCCAAGAGCAUGUCUGUCCAGCUCCACCACUGCACCACUUCCACUGCCUGAAACUACCAAGCACUGCCAGUCUCACCAGGAAAAACAAGCGAAGAAGAUGACCGGUACAUGCCGAAAAGCAAUCCACAGACGAGCAACGAGAUGCAUUGAGUCAAACAGAAUCAAACGUAAUGAAAAAAAUAGCGAGUCAAACAGAAUAAUCAGACGUAAUGAAAAAAAUAGAAAGCAAAGGAGGAGUUAAAAUAAAAAACACUUCAAAACAACGAUAUAGAGAAAAGUCACUCACAGCCAAACAAGCAAACACAGGAUUCUCCCAUAAAACAAACACUAUCUAAAGGAGGUAAAGCGAUAGGGCUGGCAUGGAAAUGGUAAUUGCCGGACGCAUCGGCCCGGUCUUAAACUGCCGUCAUCACCAUGUAAUAGUCGGGCAAAAAGAAGACUCGCAAACCGAAUUCUCACCACCGGUCAGCGAUUAAAAUCGACACAAUCCAACAAUAACAAAUAAAAUGUAAAGAAAAAGAGACAAGUCUCAUUAAAAGCAAAUAAAACUAGAUAUCACCGAGCGGAGAAAAGAUAAAGUCGCUCUCCGUCGACGGAGCAAAACCAUAAUCUUGCAUUCGUUAUUUUUUUCUCUUGAC
RNAcentral lists this long non-coding RNA (773 nucleotides) under Manihot esculenta (cassava). Its description in RNAcentral is "long non-coding RNA (MESC_LNC003566)". Lineage: Eukaryota; Viridiplantae; Streptophyta; Magnoliopsida; Malpighiales; Euphorbiaceae. The record is from RNAcentral.